Dioszegia hungarica is the source of this 105-nucleotide non-coding RNA. Lineage: Eukaryota; Fungi; Basidiomycota; Tremellomycetes; Tremellales; Bulleribasidiaceae. The record is from the annotation of a RefSeq genome assembly.
GUCUCGAUAGCUCAGUUGGGAGAGCAUUCGACUGAAGAUCAGUCUUUCAGCUAGGAUUAACUCCUGCGAUUCGAAAGGUCCCUGGUUCGAUCCCGGGUCUGGACA